Molecule: long non-coding RNA, 7545 nt
Filed under: Brassica napus (rape)
Lineage: Eukaryota; Viridiplantae; Streptophyta; Magnoliopsida; Brassicales; Brassicaceae
Description: long non-coding RNA (BNAP_LNC012238)
Source: RNAcentral
CAGAACUCCGCGGAUCAAAUGGUUUCUCCGGAUUCUGAGGCAAAAGAAGUGAUCAAGAGUAAUGUCGAGAAGGACUGUGCAGGGGCAUUUCAGUCAUUUUCAGGGUUCGAUCACUUAAAAGAUCGUGACUCAGCUGGUGUUUCACCUGAUCAUGAGACCAAACCAGACAUAACUGGAUACAGUAACCAAAGUCAAUGGUCUUUGUUCGAGAAGUGGCUGUUUGAGGAUUCCGGUGGACAGGUUGGUGAUAUUUUAUUGGAUGAAAACCCUAAUUUCUUCUGAAAAUUUUGGUUAAUCAGAUGGUUUUCGAAUUAACUCGCUAAAAUUAUGGUUAGCUGAAUCGUUUAUAAUUUUACUUAUUUUCCUUCGUUAUAAUGAUAGGUUGUUCUACAACUGGCCUUGUAAAUCUCUAGGGGCCUGAAAUAUGUCCCCCAAUGAUUUUAGUGUUGGUGUAAUAUUUUUCUAAUACUCAAUUUGAUAUUUUGAACUAUUGUUUUUAUGUUAUUUGCAUGUUAUGUUUGUAUUCUAAACAGAUUUAAGAACAAUAACACUCAAAUAUAAUGUUUAAGAGAUUAAUACCGUUACUACGAUAAGACAUGCGCGUUGCGCAGGGUGAAUUUAUUUGUAUAUAUUAUCGAUAAUUUUUUUAUAUAUUUAAUUAUUUUAUUUAUACAUAUACAAUAUUUUUUGUUGUUAUUAUAUAAUUUAUUUCCGAUGGACGGACCUAGGGGUGUUCAAUCUGGCAAAAUCGAACCAAUUAAAACUGAACCGAACCAAAUUAGAGAAAGUGGUUUGGACUUGGUAAUACCAAAUAUACCGAAUGUAUGUCAUUUUGAAAACCGCGGUAUUUGGAUAUGGUUUGGUAUAUAAACCGAUCAAACCGAAUAAACUGAUCAUUUAAAAUAUAGUAGUAUAAUUAUAUGUAAAUUUUAUAAUAUAAUUAAGAAUAUAUACAUAAUUAUUUUAUUAAUUUGAUUUUUAUAUUGAAACAUUGUUUUUAGUAACUAAAUAUUUUGUUUUAAGUUAAAAGUUAUGUUUUAUUUUUAUCAAAUUAAAUAAAACAUAACGUUUACCCUUUUGUUAACAAAUAUGAGUGUUUAGAUUUAGUUAUUUAUAAUAUUAUGGAUUACUAAUUUCUAUUAUGUAAAAAAUAUUAUAAUUAUUAACUUAAUAUGUUUGCUAAAUAUUUUAAAUAGUAAAAACCGAAAUAUCUUCAUGUUAUAUAAAAACUAAUAUAUAAUAAUAUAAAUAAAAUCCAUAAAAUACUUUUUUUAAAAAAAAAUUAUGGUAUUUUGGUAUUUUGAUAUAAAACCGAAUAAACCAAAAACCGACGGUAUAUAAACAAAAAAAAAACAGAGUAAAUAUGGUUUUAAUAUGGUAGCUAUUUUUCAUAAACUAAAAUAUCGAAAAACCAAAAAAAUCAAACCGAAACCGAACCGAUAUCUGGAUUUAACACCCUUAGAUGGACCGGAUCAUUUUUUAUUAAAAAUGGUGGAACUAAACUAUGAUUAAUAUAUUAUGGGUUGAUCAGAUUGGACAUUAAACAAAUUAUGACACAAAAACUUUAUUAUUUUCCACCAAACACAUUUUUGAAAAAUUUGAACAGUAUUGUUUCCACAGUUGAAUUAUUUUGACAUUUAUCUUCCAUAUGAUUUUGAAAAGUUUCAGAUCAACCAUCGAAUUAAUACAUGUUAUUUUAAUGUUUUUAGUUGUUUGGUUAAGAAAAACUUACAUUUUUGUAAUUUAAAGUCGGUUUAAAAAAUUCAAAAUAUAACAUAUAAGAAAAAAUCUAACAUAUAAGAAAAAUAAAAUAUAUAAGGUUUCCUUAUUUUUGUAAUUUAAAGUCGUUUUAAAUUUUUUUAAAUAUAACAUAUAAAGUUUGCUCAUUUAUGUAAUUUCAAAGUCAUUUAAAAAAAAAUCAAAAUAUAACAUAUAAGAAAAAAAAAUCUAUUUUUUUAUUAUAUGGUUAAUGUGAUUGUUUAAUAUUUUUAAUAAUAUAAAUUAAACAAAAAUAAAGAAGGAUGCAAAAAUUGUUAUCAAAUAUUUAUAAUUCAUAGUCAUUAAUUGUCAUAUAUAUGUUAAUCAUAUUAGGUAAUUCUGUAACUUUUAUUUAAGGAAAGAAUACACAUUUCUUAUACUUUAGGUUAAUAUAAUGUUCUCUAGUAGGAUCUAAGAAAUCAGUACCUAAAUAUUGAGAAUCCUCGUGACCUUUGGACAAAAUUAAAAUCCAGAUACACAAUGGUGUUAUUACCAAAGGUCAGGCAUGAAUGGAUGAGUCUCAGAUUCCAGGACUUUGAGUCUGUGGAUGAAUAUCAUUUUGCUUUGUCCAAAAUUGUUUACAAACUGAGACUAUGUGGUGAAGUGGUAACAGAGGAGGAUUUACUGGAAAAGACCUUGCUCCCAGCCGAUCCAAGAGAUCUAUUGUUACAACAUAUCUAUAGAGAAAAAGGUUUCACCACCUAUAAUGAUCUGCUCUCAUGCCUAUUACUAACUGAGCAGAGUAAUCAGUUGCUAAAAAGAAAUAGUGAGAUGAGACAUCUUGAAGCCAAUAAGGCUGAAGAAGAUAAGAAAGAAUCCAAGGAAGCCACGUCCAAAGUAACGGAUGGUGUGGCCGGCUUGUCUAUUGACUAAGAAAAUGAGAUUUCGACAUACUGAUUUUGUGUUAAGUUUUUUAUUUAUGUUUUGCUUUGACCUUCUUGUCAUUUAAUAAUAGAAUUGAUUUGAGUUCAUUACUAUUAUAUCUUGUCUGAUCUUACUUGAUAAUGUGAAUGAUUGAUAAAGAAAUCGCCUAAAAAGCAUUAUGGUACGGUAUAGUAGCCUAGUAAGAAAUCUAUGGCUAAGGCAUUGCCUAAAGGACAUUAUAUACACCCAAGAAUGUUUGACCCGUUGAGUUAAUAUGGUUUCCAAAUAGAAACAAUGGGCAAAAGGAAGCAAGUUCCUUCAGAUUUAAGAAAGAAAGAAAACGCCUAAGACCCUUUAAGAAAGUGUUUAAGACUAUACCUAUGUAAUCUACUGAUCAAAACUAUGCUAAAGAUCAGUAUGAUAAAAGGCAAGAGCCAUGGUAACCAGAUUGGUAUACCCCACAGAAAUUAUACACUUUAUGGCACGACUGGAUUAGCCAUCCUAGUCUAAACUUGAUGCAAAGAUUGAUAUUGCAAAAGGCACACAGAGUUAUCCCAUAGUAUCUCACGUUGUGUAACAUGUACACAAGGGAAACUCAUUAGGCUUUAUUGUCCCAAGCAUCACGAAAUUAUAGUAUGUUCAUGAGGGAGAGUGAGGAUACCCCCAUGGUCCAUGACCAUACUAUAAACACGUAUAUAACAGCUUGGCCGUACAUGCUAUUACCUAUAAGGUUCAGACUCUAAAGUCUAUAAGCUUAGGGACAUCACGAGUUUUACAUGUAUAUAAAUUUAAUAAGCAUCAGGCCAUAUAAGUGAGCAUAGAUAUUCUCAUCUCAGAUUGAAUACGGAUCAUAAACCAGACAUACACCAUCUUAAGAGACUUUGAAUAAACCACCACAGACAUAUGUGCCGUCUAAGAUGGAACCUCAGAAGAGGAUUGGGAAUAUAUGUUGGAUAAGAGUAUGAAUUUCUGCCACGACUUCUAAGAGACCUUGAGCCAAAUAUGGGUGAUCAGAAAGUGGCCAGGUACACGGAUUGUAUGAUCAAUGAAUCCGAAUAUCCAACAUUAAAAAGAGAAAGCUAUAAGCUGGUAAAGAGUAAAGAAUGAUAAGAAACAAAAUGGUAUCAACCAUCAUUGUUUUGGCAAAGAUCCUCGGAUUAGAAUUAUAGACGUCCAAAGAAAGAAAAGAUUAUACAUAGCUAGCUAAUCGAGAUGCCAGACACUGACCCGAAAAGAAAAGAAAAGAAUGACUAAGUCAUAACCAGCUUAGCACCAAACGAAAUCUGAUGUCCUAGAAAGAGACACAGUCAAGUUGCUACAGAGUCUAUACAAGAUAUAUCAAAGUUUUCCAUAAGAUAAGGAACCUCGGAAAGAGAAAGGUGCAUAGAAUACAAAUCCGAGGUCAUAAGGAAACCGGACCAGACAUUGAGAAAAGGCUGCGCAGCUAAACAUCUAAGGUACCAAACCAUGUAGUUUGGGACGCCGAGCUACUAGGUAACAAAGGUCCUGGAUAAUGAAAUCUCAAAUUGAUUAGAUCAUCACUUUCGGAAACGGAGAGAUUAUAUUUUUAUUGUAAAAUACCAAUCUACAAUAUACUUCCUAUAUAUAUUGGUGGCUGUCAAAAUUUUGUAUUAAUAUAGAAGAAAGUAGAGGAUUCGUAGCUUAUACUAAAAUGUUAUGCUUUCGAAUGAUAUGAUUCACCGAAUGAUGAAACUGUAGAAAAUGAAAAAAAAAUAUAAAAUGAAAAUUUCUGAGUAAAUUGAACGUUUCCCACUCCCAAAAUAUAUAUACAAACUUGCUCUUUUGUAAGAAUAUACUUUUACAAACUUUUUUAAUUAGAUGUAAACCACAAAAAAGAAAGAAAACUUUCAUUUUUCGAAAUUACGUCUUAAUUUGAGUUUUUGUUAACUUUAAUUACGUCUUCAAGUUUUUUUUUUGUUUCAAUACGUCUUUGAGUUGAUAACGCAACUCUGCAGUUCCAGUCCAAAUUAUUGAUAAACAGCCUGUUAACACGAUUAUACUCCAAUUGUUAUAAGCUAACAACAAUUGGUUAAGUUUCCACAAUAUGUAAUUUCACACUUGUACAAACUAUAGAAAACCUUACCUGCAUAAAUAAAUAGAUAUAGCACAGCAUUGACAAAAGAGAAGAGAUUAAAGGAGUCCCGUGUCUCUUCUUCUUCCUUUCCUUCCGGCCUCGUGAAAACAAAAUUGAUAUCAUCUUUUAUAUAUACACAUUACAUAUAUACACUCAAGUACACAUAAAUAGAAUAUGGUUGUGUGACUUGUGUUUAUUGAAUCCAAUAAUCCUCAUUAUCUUAUGCCAAAUUCUCAUGCAAUUAUCUCUUAAUCUCUUUUCACCACCUACGAUAAUUAACGAAUGCAUAAGUAACCUACAAUUAAUUUCAUCAAUAACUGUGUUUACCAAAAGUCCAGAUGUGGUCCAUCAAUUAAUUACGAUAUCCGAGAAAACAUACUAAAUUAACAAUAACAUCAUGUAUGACGUAGAUCAUCAUGUAAAUUUGACAAAAGGCCAAAGUCCCACUGGUUCAAUCCGAAACAGCAAUUUUUUUCUUCUGUUUUCAUGGCAACCCGAAGCAAAUCAUGGAGCUAGAGAAAAUCUCGUUCGUCAAAAGAUCCUUUCAUCAAUUUCUAUUAUUAACGAGGCCCACGUCUUACACAUAAAUGCAUAGUCACUAUUCAAUUCUUAAAAUUAUCGUAGCAAUAGAUCAAAAGCUAGAGAGUGAGAUUUCAUAUCAUAUAAUAUUUACCAUGUUGUCAUGCAUUUCCCCAUUGUUCUUAAUUUUUAUGACAUAAAAUAGUUAACUAACACGAUGAUUAAUCCGAGAUUCUUUGCCAAAAAAAAAUAAAAACGGUUUCUUAACUUUUAACUAAAAAAAACUAAGAACCGGUUUUUAUAAAGUCUUUAUUUAAGAACCGGUUAUUAGUUUUUUUAGUUAAAAAAUAAAAAACAGUUUCUUAACUUCCGUUAAAGACUCCAUCAUAAAAAGCCCGGGUUAAUCAUGCUCUAACAAUUUUAUGAUAUUAGGGUUUUUGAAAGGAGCAAGCCCACAUUGAAUGCCACGCGGUUUUGUGUGGAGCGUAGAGACUUUUCCUUUUGCCACACAGCUGACUUUGGAGGCUUUACCUCCACUUUUGUAGUUAAUGCUUUACAUAUUUUAUUUAUUAAAUACUCAAUUUUGAGAGAACCAAUGGCCCAAGACCAAGAGGGGUCAGCAAUUUUAUCUUUCUCUUUUUUUAUAUAUAUAGAAGAAGAAGGUGGACCUUUGUCACCAAGCUUAACCAUUAGAUCCUUCCAAAACUAAGAGUGCCAUUAGUGAGCUUAAAGAGUACUGUGAGACUCAUCAACAACUAAAGCUGUCUCAAUUUUCUUCUAUUUUCUAGGCAAAAAGUUGUUAGUGGAAAACUUAAGUGAGGCAAAAAGAGAAAAGGGAGUGACUAAUUAAAUUAAUUGAUUGAUUGUUUAAGAGAGAGAUCAAGAUAAUGGUGAGACCCCCUUGUUGUGACAAAGAAGGAGUGAAGAAAGGGCCAUGGACUCCUGAAGAAGAUAUCAUUUUAGUUACUUACAUCCAAGAACAUGGUCCUGGUAAUUGGAGAGCUGUUCCCACCAAUACUGGUAUAUGUCUAAUCUUCUUAUCUCUCCCUCUCUUUAUCUAUGUAUAUAUCAUCUCUCGGGAUAUGAAUAUACAUAGAGAUAUUAUUAGGGUUAUGUAGGUAAGAUAUAGACAAGGGAUCAAAAUGGUUAUGUAUUGAAUUUGGUUGAUAUAUGUAUUCUCCAAAUGGGUUUAAUUGUGGAAUAAGAGUAAUCAGAACCAUAUUUUGAAAUUAACUAGCUAGAAUUUUCUUUAUGGACUUUAGGAUCAAGAUCUAGUGCAUGAGCUUAACUUUUUACUCGGUUUUUAAUACUUACUAUACCUUUAUCGUCAUUUGUUCUUGUAAAAUUCAGGGUUGCUUAGAUGCAGCAAGAGUUGUAGGCUUAGAUGGACGAACUAUUUAAGACCAGGAAUCAAAAGAGGCAACUUCACAGAACAUGAAGAGAAGAUGAUUGUACAUCUCCAAGCCCUCUUAGGCAAUAGGUACUUAAAUUAACCUAAUCACAUUCAAUCAAAAGAUGAUUUCUCUAUUUUUGUCUCUCACAACCUUUUUAAAUUAGAAAAAUUAAUAAUAGAGGGCAUUUAAUAUUUGGUGUAUAGAUGGGCUGCAAUUGCGUCUUAUCUUCCACAAAGGACAGACAAUGACAUUAAGAACUAUUGGAACACUCACUUGAAGAAGAAACUCAACAAAGCCAAUCAAGUUUCUCAUCAAGAACAUGAUCAAUCAAGAGACCGUUCCUCACUCUCUUCUUCUCCAUCGUCUUCCUCUGCUAAUUCCAAUUCAAAUAUUAAUAUCGCAAGAGGCCAAUGGGAAAGAAGACUUCAAACCGAUAUUCACUUGGCGAAAAAGGCUCUCUCUGAGGCUUUGUCUCCUGCCGUAGCACCGAUCAAUACAGCAACAACAUCUUCUUCUGCUGAAUCAAGACUUACUACUUCCUCAGCUAGUGGGUUUCUUAGGACACAAGAAACAUCCACCACUUAUGCCUCAAGCAUCGAGAAUAUAGCGAAAUUGCUCAAAGGGUGGGUGAAGAAAUCGCCAACUCAGAACUCCGCGGAUCAAAUGGUUUCUCCGGAUUCUGAGGCAAAAGAAGUGAUCAAGAGUAAUGUCGAGAAGGACUGUGCAGGGGCAUUUCAGUCAUUUUCAGGGUUCGAUCACUUAAAAGAUCGUGACUCAGCUGGUGUUUCACCUGAUCAUGAGACCAAACCAGACAUAACUGGAUACAGUAACCAAAGUCAAUGGUCUUUGUUCGAGAAGUGGCUGUUUGAGGAUUCCGGUGGACAGGUUGGUGAUAUUUUAUUGGAUGAAAACCCU